UACGAAGGGGGCUAGCGUUACUCGGCUUGACUGGGCGUAAAGGGCGCGUAGGCGGUUCGUACAGUCAGACGUGAAAUUCCUGGGCUCAACCUGGGGGCUGCGUUUGAUACGUGCGGGCUUGAGUUCGGAAGAGGGUCGUGGAAUUCCCAGUGUAGAGGUGAAAUUCGUAGAUAUUGGGAAGAACACCGGUGGCGAAGGCGGCGACCUGGUCCGAUACUGACGCUGAGGCGCGAAAGCGUGGGGAGCAAACAGG
Molecule: ribosomal RNA, 253 nt
Filed under: uncultured bacterium
Lineage: Bacteria
Description: partial 16S ribosomal RNA
Rfam family: Bacterial small subunit ribosomal RNA
Source: RNAcentral